Molecule: long non-coding RNA, 1093 nt
Filed under: Canis lupus familiaris (dog)
Lineage: Eukaryota; Metazoa; Chordata; Mammalia; Carnivora; Canidae
Description: lncRNA (ENSCAFG00845019122.1)
Source: RNAcentral
CGCUGCUGCCGGGGGGCGCUGCUGCUGGGGGGGCGCUGCCGCGGGGGCGCUGUUGCUGUGGCGCGGGUCCCCGCCCUCCUCCGCGAGCGCCCGUUUCGCAGGCCCGCCGGCAGAGGGCAACCUUGUUCCAAGUUCUCUCCCGGCCUGGGCUCCGCUCCCGGAGGCCCUCACCUGCCCGAAGCUGGGGAGCUGGGGAGGGGCCGAGCGCCUCUGGCCUGCUGCGGAGCUGCCCUGUCACUCCUCCCCUUGAGAGCUGUUUACAUCCCAAGGAGCCACAAAGUCUCCACACAGCAAGGAAGUCGGCCAGGGAAGGCCGGGCCCACGCAGGGUCACUGAACUCACCCCCAAAUGAUCCUGCAGAUGGCAACAGAGGCCCAGGAAACGUGCCUCAUCCUGGAGGGAGCCCAGAUCUCUGGGGGUGUGAGGAAGGCUGAGCCCUCCCCCCACCAAAGCAAAGCAAGGUGAUUUGAAGAAAUCCAGGCAAGGGAGAGCAUCUUUCGCUUCCAUCCUCCAUCGUUUGUAACUCAGAAAGAAAUUAUUUUGAAUCCUAAAAUUGACAUGAAGAAAGAAAAAAGCAAUUAAAAUAAAAAGGACAUCCAAAGGCAAAAUUAAACUUUACCUCUGGAUGGAAAAGCCACAUGGUCUGUCACAAGUCACAGGAGUAGAAAAGGGCAGAGGGGCGUCCCUGGGUGGCUCAGUGGUUGAGGGUCUGCCUUCAGCUCAGGGCAUGAUCCUGGGGUCCCGGGAUCGAGUCCCACGUCAGGCUCCCCACAGGGAGCUGCUUCUCCCUCUGCCUGUGUCUCUGCCUCUCUCUGUGUGUCUCUCAUGAAUAAACACAUAAAUCUUAAAUAUAUAUAUGUAUGUACGUAUUUGUUUUUUACCUGAAAGCCCAACCUCAUCAGGCAUCUGGAUUUGAUAUGCCAAGCAUACCUGUAAGUGUGAGUUCUGGCACGGCAUCUCCAUCAUUCUGACAGUGUUCGGUUUUCCUGUGACCUACCCAUAACCACCAACUCAAUUCCUGACGGGGCCCUGGGCAGCUAACAUCAAUGUACGGAUGAGGUGAUCAACAGGAGAAAUUGGGCCUGGAGCUGAA